Molecule: ribosomal RNA, 460 nt
Filed under: uncultured bacterium
Lineage: Bacteria
Description: partial 16S ribosomal RNA
Rfam family: Bacterial small subunit ribosomal RNA
Source: RNAcentral
CCUACGUGAGACAGCAGUGAGGAAUAUUAGUCAAUGGGCGCGAGCCUGAACCAGCCAAGUAGCGUGAGGGAUGACUGCCCUACGGGUUGUAAACUUCUUUUAUAAAGGAAUAAAGUGAGGCACGUGUGCCUUUUUGUAUGUACUUUAUGAAUAAGGAUCGGCUAACUCCGUGCCAGCAGCCGCGGUCAUACGGAGGAUCCGAACGUUAUCCAGAUUUAUUGGGUUUAAAGGGAGCGUAGAUGGGUUGUUAAGUCAGUUGUGAAAGUUUGCGGCUCAACCGUAAAAUUGCAAUUGAUACUGGCAGUCUUGAGUACAGUUGAGGUAGGCGGAAUUCGUGGUGUAGCGGUGAAAUGCUUAGAUAUCACGAAGAACUCCGAUUGCGAAGGCAGCUUACUAAACUGCCACUGACAUUGAUGCUCGAAAGUGUGGGUAUCAAACAGGAUUAGAUACCCGAGUAGUC